RNAcentral lists this ribosomal RNA (474 nucleotides) under uncultured bacterium. Its description in RNAcentral is "bacterial SSU rRNA". It matches the Rfam family "Bacterial small subunit ribosomal RNA", at positions 335 to 802 of the family's 1533-position model. The record is from RNAcentral.
ACUCCUACGGGAGGCAGCAGUGGGGAAUAUUGCACAAUGGGGGAAACCCUGAUGCAGCCAUGCCGCGUGUGUGAAGAAGGCCUUCGGGUUGUAAAGCACUUUCAGUAGGGAGGAAGGUAGUGUAGUUAACACCUGCAUUAUUUGACGUUACCUACAGAAGAAGCACCGGCUAACUCCGUGCCAGCAGCCGCGGUAAUACGGAGGGUGCGAGCGUUAAUCGGAAUUACGUGGGCGUAAAGCGCAUGCAGGCGGCCUGUUAAGUCAGAUGUGAAAGCCCGGGGCUUAACCUCGGAAUUGCAUUUGAAACUGGCAGGCUAGAGUCUUGUAGAGGGGUUAGAAUUUCGAGGUGUAGCGGUGAAAUGCGUAGAGAUCUGAAGGAAUACCAGUGGCGAAGGCGGCCCCGUGGACAAAGCUGACGCUCAGAUGCGAAAGCGUGGGAGCAAACAGGAUUAGAUACCCCGUGGUAGACUGUCA